This 253-nucleotide ribosomal RNA is filed under the name uncultured bacterium. RNAcentral's name for it is "partial 16S ribosomal RNA". It matches the Rfam family "Bacterial small subunit ribosomal RNA", at positions 524 to 776 of the family's 1533-position model. The record is from RNAcentral.
UACGUAGGCAGCAAGCGUUGUUCGGAAUUAUUGGGCGUAAAGAGUGUGUAGGCGGUGUUCUAAGUCUGUCGUGAAAUCUCCCGGCUUAACUGGGAGGGUGCGGCGGAAACUGGAAUGCUAGAGGGUGGGAGAGGUAAGCGGAAUUCCUGGUGUAGCGGUGAAAUGCGUAGAUAUCAGGAGGAACACCUGCGGUGUAGACAGCUUACUGGACCACUUCUGACGCUGAGACACGAAAGCGUGGGUAGCAAACAGG